This is a non-coding RNA of Monodelphis domestica (gray short-tailed opossum), 609 nucleotides long. NCBI's taxonomy places the organism in Eukaryota, Metazoa, Chordata, Mammalia, Didelphimorphia, Didelphidae. The record is from RefSeq and is a predicted model, not a curated record.
UUGGAUCUCCUUACCUCAUUUAGGCUGCAAAGUCCAUUCCUGGACUUUCCUCCACAGCUGAUCUCCAGAUCUGCUUUGUUUCAAAACUAGCUCCCUGCCAAAUAUUCAAGAUCUUCCAAGCUAACACUUAAUUUUGGAGGCCUCAAAUACACAUGGGAAGGCAUCAAUUAUUUACCACCAUCAGCUCCAUCUUAGUUUUAACUUUUUGAGGCUCUGGAUAUAUGAUUUCAUCCAUAAAUGAGACCUUUAUCAGAGAAACUUGCUGCAAAGUGGACCUGUGAUUUCAAUGAUAUGGGAAAUUUCCUGAUGAGGAAACUCCAUCUAUCAAUGAAGUCUUACUAGUUUCCAAGGAGAGUAACCUGUGUAGCCCAAGGACUCCUCCCUGAAAUGAUAGAGUAAUGAUCACACUAAAAGAAAGAAGAAUUUCUUAUUAUUCCAGUUAAAGAAAGUAUCUCUUGAGCUGACAUUUGACCAUGUGGAAACAAGGAUCCUUACAGGAAGUGGUUAAAGAGAUAUUGAAUGUUUUUAGGAAAAUGAUUCUUCAAAGACCCAAAAGUUAAAUAAAUAUUGUUAUGUCUGGUACACAAAAACAUCAGCUGAACUUUCACU